RNAcentral lists this ribosomal RNA (119 nucleotides) under Musa acuminata subsp. malaccensis (wild Malaysian banana). The record is from RNAcentral. Lineage: Eukaryota; Viridiplantae; Streptophyta; Magnoliopsida; Zingiberales; Musaceae.
GGUUGUGAUCAUACCAGCACUAAAGCACCGGAUCCUAUCAGAACUCCUAAGUUAAGCAUGCUUAGGCAAGAGUAGUACUAGGAUGGGUGACCCCUUGGGAAGUCCUCGUGUUGCACUCC